GCAUCCUUAGCUCAGUGGUAGAGCGUUCCGUUCACAUCGGAAAGGCCGAAGGUUCGAUCCCUUCAGGAUGCA
RNAcentral lists this transfer RNA (72 nucleotides) under Candidatus Nomurabacteria bacterium RIFCSPHIGHO2_12_FULL_44_22b. RNAcentral's name for it is "tRNA-Val". It matches the Rfam family "tRNA". Rfam says of the family: Transfer RNA (tRNA) molecules are approximately 80 nucleotides in length. Their secondary structure includes four short double-helical elements and three loops (D, anti-codon, and T loops). Further hydrogen bonds mediate the characteristic L-shaped molecular structure. tRNAs have two regions of fundamental functional importance: the anti-codon, which is responsible for specific mRNA codon recognition, and the 3' end, to which the tRNAs corresponding amino acid is attached (by aminoacyl-tRNA synthetases). tRNAs cope with the degeneracy of the genetic code in two manners: having more than one tRNA (with a specific anti-codon) for a particular amino acid; and 'wobble' base-pairing, i.e. permitting non-standard base-pairing at the 3rd anti-codon position. RNAcentral also lists the same sequence under 1 other name. The record is from RNAcentral. Lineage: Bacteria; Candidatus Nomuraibacteriota.